RNAcentral lists this ribosomal RNA (253 nucleotides) under uncultured bacterium. Its description in RNAcentral is "partial 16S ribosomal RNA". It matches the Rfam family "Bacterial small subunit ribosomal RNA", at positions 524 to 776 of the family's 1533-position model. The record is from RNAcentral.
UCCGAAGGGGGCUAGCGUUGCUCGGAAUCACUGGGCGUAAAGCGCACGUAGGCGGCUUUCUAAGUCAGGGGUGAAAUCCUGGAGCUCAACUCCAGAACUGCCUUUGAUACUGGAAAGCUUGAGUUCGAGAGAGGUGAGUGGAACUGCGAGUGUAGAGGUGAAAUUCGUAGAUAUUCGCAAGAACACCAGUGGCGAAGGCGGCUCACUGGCUCGAUACUGACGCUGAGGUGCGAAAGCGUGGGGAGCAAACAGG